RNAcentral lists this ribosomal RNA (492 nucleotides) under uncultured bacterium. RNAcentral describes it as "partial 16S ribosomal RNA". It matches the Rfam family "Bacterial small subunit ribosomal RNA", at positions 29 to 507 of the family's 1533-position model. The record is from RNAcentral.
AGUGAACGCUGGCGGUAGGCCUAACACAUGCAAGUCGAACGGCAGCACAGUAAGAGCUUGCUCUUACGGGUGGCGAGUGGCGGACGGGUGAGGAAUACAUCGGAAUCUACUUUUUCGUGGGGGAUAACGUAGGGAAACUUACGCUAAUACCGCAUACGACCUACGGGUGAAAGCAGGGGAUCUUCGGACCUUGCGCGAUUGAAUGAGCCGAUGUCGGAUUAGCUAGUUGGCGGGGUAAAGGCCCACCAAGGCGACGAUCCGUAGCUGGUCUGAGAGGAUGUUCAGCCACACUGGAACUGAGACACGGUCCAGACUCCUACGGGAGGCAGCAGUGGGGAAUAUUGGACAAUGGGAGCAAGCCUGAUCCAGCCAUACCGCGUGGGUGAAGAAGGCCUUCGGGUUGUAAAGCCCUUUUGUUGGGAAAGAAAAGCAGCAGGUUAAUACCCCGCUGUUCUGACGGUACCCAAAGAAUAAGCACCGGCUAACUUCGUG